Molecule: ribosomal RNA, 430 nt
Filed under: bacterium S4-031-16S
Lineage: Bacteria
Description: bacterial SSU rRNA
Rfam family: Bacterial small subunit ribosomal RNA
Source: RNAcentral
GUGCUUAGCGGCGGACGGGUGAGUAACACGUAGGCAACCUGCCUGUAAGAUCGGGAUAACUACCGGAAACGGUAGCUAAGACCGGAUAGCUGGUUUCGGUGCAUGCCGGAAUCAUGAAACACGGGGCAACCUGUGGCUUACGGAUGGGCCUGCGGCGCAUUAGCUAGUUGGCGGGGUAACGGCCCACCAAGGCGACGAUGCGUAGCCGACCUGAGAGGGUGAUCGGCCACACUGGGACUGAGACACGGCCCAGACUCCUACGGGAGGCAGCAGUAGGGAAUCUUCCGCAAUGGGCGCAAGCCUGACGGAGCAACGCCGCGUGAGUGAUGAAGGUUUUCGGAUCGUAAAGCUCUGUUGCCAGGGAAGAACGUCGUGGAGAGUAACUGCUCUGCGAAUGACGGUACCUGAGAAGAAAGCCCCGGCUAACUAC